GGCGGCGUGCCUAACACAUGCAAGUCGAGCGAGAAAGCCCGCAAGGGCGAGUACAGCGGCGCACGGGUGAGUAACACGUGGGUAAUCUGCCCUGGAGUCCGGAAUAACUCGCCGAAAGGCGCGCUAAUGCCGGAUGAGACCACGGGGGCUUCGGCCCCUGCGGGAAAAGGUGGCCUCUGCAUGCAAGCUAUCACUUCAGGAUGAGCCCGCGGCCCAUCAGCUCGUUGGCGGGGUAACGGCCCACCAAGGCUACGACGGGUAGCUGGUCUGAGAGGACGAUCAGCCACACUGGAACUGAGACACGGUCCAGACUCCUACGGGAGGCAGCAGUGGGGAAUCUUGCGCAAUGGGCGAAAGCCUGACGCAGCAACGCCGCGUGUGUGAUGAAGGUCUUCGGAUCGUAAAGCACUGUCGGGAGGGACGAAUAAGGCGCCGGCUAACAUCCGGCGACGAUGACGGUACCUCCAAAGGAAGCACCGGCUAACUCUGUGCCAGCAGCCGCGGUAA
RNAcentral lists this ribosomal RNA (507 nucleotides) under uncultured delta proteobacterium. RNAcentral describes it as "bacterial SSU rRNA". It matches the Rfam family "Bacterial small subunit ribosomal RNA", at positions 38 to 523 of the family's 1533-position model. The record is from RNAcentral. Lineage: Bacteria; Deltaproteobacteria.